UACGGAGGAUGCAAGGGUUAUCCGGAAUUACUGGGUGUAAAGGGUGUGUAGGCGGGAAGACAAGUCAGACGUGAAAACUUAGGGCUCAACUCUAAGCCUGCGUUUGAAACUGUUUUUCUUGAGAGUGGGAGAGGUAAACGGAAUUCCUGGUGUAGUAGUGAAAUGCGUAGAUAUCAGGAGGAACACCGGUGGCGAAGGCGGUUUACUGGACCACAACUGACGCUGAGACACGAAAGCGUGGGGAGCAAAC
RNAcentral lists this ribosomal RNA (250 nucleotides) under uncultured prokaryote. RNAcentral describes it as "partial 16S ribosomal RNA". It matches the Rfam family "Bacterial small subunit ribosomal RNA", at positions 524 to 773 of the family's 1533-position model. The record is from RNAcentral.